Molecule: ribosomal RNA, 1830 nt
Filed under: Triticum aestivum (bread wheat)
Lineage: Eukaryota; Viridiplantae; Streptophyta; Magnoliopsida; Poales; Poaceae
Description: partial small subunit ribosomal RNA
Source: RNAcentral
AUGUUUAGAUCAGAGCAUAUACAUGGUAUUACCGAUGCAGUAGGUGAUGGGUGUGUGGAUGGCGACGCUGUUGGAAAGAGGACCAUUGUGCCCUCCAGUCACAUGGGUGGUCGUCGUUAUUUUAAUGAGAAUUUCCAUGAUGGCCUUGCUGUUUGUCGGGUGCAUGGUGCACCAGAUGUAUUUACCACUUUCACUUGUAAUCCCAAGUGGCCUGAGAUCACCGCUGCAUUGGAGCCAGGGCAGGCGUCUUCUGAUAGGGCAGACGUUGUUAUUAGGGUCUAUCACAUGAAGCUUGCCGAGUAUUUGGACGAGAUCAAGUCAGGCCGGGCUUUUGGCCCCAUUAAAUCGGUCCUGUAUACUGUUGAGUUCCAGAAGCGUGGGCUGCCACACGCGCAUAUACUUGUCUGGCGGAGAGGGGGCAACGAUGAGAUUGGUGUUGAAAAUAUUAAUUCAUUAAUAUCUGCUGAAAUACCUGAUGCAUUGCUUGAUCCUCUAGGAUAUGCUUUAGUUUCUGAGUUUAUGAUGCACGGUCUGUGUGGUGAAAUGAACGAUAAAUGUGUCUGCAUGAAAAAGGGUGUUUGUUCUAAAUAUUUCCCAAAAGAUUUUAGAGAUACCACUGUCAUUGAUGAUAAUGGGUUUGCCUUAUAUCGAUGUCGUGACGACGGUCGAAGGGUCUAUAAAAAUGGUCAUUACCUUGACAAUAGGCAUGUUGUUCCUUAUAAUAUGGCGAUGCUCAAGAAAUUUCAGGGACAUAUAAAUGUAGAGUGGUGUAACAAGACACAUGUUAUGAAAUAUCUCUUUAAGUAUGUCACCAAAGGUGCUGACUACUCUAAGGUCAUGUUAGAAAGGCUAAAAAAUUUGACUAAAUCUGGUUGCCGUACAGUAGAUGAGGUUCAGGAGUAUCUGAUAUGUCAGUAUAUAUGUGAGUACAAUGCAUUGUGGCGCAUAUUUGGGUUUGAAAUACACUUUAAAAUGCCGUCGGUUCAAAGGCUGACCGUUCAUAUGCCUGGCAUGAAUACUGUUUACUAUCGUGCUGGUGCUGACCUCACGAAAAUUGUUGAUUCCGACUUCUUGCGAAAGACUAUGCUUACCGAAUGGUUUGUUGCGAAUGAGACGUUCGAAGAUGCCCGUUCAUUAACUUAUUGUGAUUUUCCAACUGCUUGGACCUGGGACGCUAAAAGUAGGUCAUGGCAUCCAAGGGGUGGGGGUGAAAAGAUUGGCCGCGUGUAUUAUGUACAUCCUUUGAGUGGUGAGUUGUAUUACUUGCGCAUGCUUUUGAUGAUUGUUAAAGGGGCUAGGUCUUUCGAAGAUCUUCGAACAUAUGCUGGUCGUCUUUAUCACACCUUUAAAGAGGCUUGUGCCGCGCAUGGUUUGUUGGGAGAUGAUAACGAGUGGUACAUAGUGUUUGAUGAAGCAGUUGUUUGGGGGUUUGGGCAUCGACUUAGACAGCUAUUUGUGACUAUGCUCAUGCAUUGUUCUAUCAAGGAUGAGAUGGGUUUCUUUGAACGUUACUGCGCUAGCAUGUACGAUGAUAUCGAGCAUGGGUUCCGUCGUGCCCUGGGUAAUCCAAACUAUGUUGUUCCUCCUGAAAGAUUGAGAAAUAUGCUUCUUGACGAGUUGGCCGACGUUUUCUUGAAACAUGGUUCUGAUAUAAGAAGUUUUAACUUGCCGUCUCGCUCUGGCGAAGGUGAGCAGUCUGAUGAUAAUCGUCUAAUUCGUGAGGAACUGUCUUAUGAUGCAUGUGCUCUGUCUAAACAGUCCUUGGUUAUGUUUGAUAGUUUAAAUGAGGACCAAUUGGUUGCUUAUAAGACGAUUGUAGAGUGUGUGUAG